CAAUAUUGUGGUGAUUGAACCAUAUAGAAGAUAGGUUCAAGUUUGAUGUGUAAGGCUAAAUUUUGAUUCUUAAGGAUUUGGAAGGAAGAUAGGAAGAUUGCAUUGGACAUGUUUUAAGAAGGUUGACAAGUGGAGAAGAUGCACCAAACACAAAAAGGACUUCAUAACAACAUUAAUAACAAGUACAAGUUCAAUAUAAAAGAUGCAUAUACGCAAAGAGAAAUCGACGUAAUUCGGACCCACUGGACAAGUUUUUAUUGGCCGAUUUUUGUAAAGGAUGUAAUUCUUGUUUUUUGUCUUCAAUAGAAUGUAAA
This is a non-coding RNA of Benincasa hispida (wax gourd), 314 nucleotides long. Lineage: Eukaryota; Viridiplantae; Streptophyta; Magnoliopsida; Cucurbitales; Cucurbitaceae. The record is from RefSeq and is a predicted model, not a curated record.